UACAGAGACUGCAAGCGUUAUUCGGAUUCACUGGGCGUAAAGGGUGCGCGGGCGGCCAAGUGUGUUAGGCGUGAAAGCCCGGGGCUUAACCCCGGAAUUGCACCUAAAACUACUUGGCUAGAGCAUUGGAGAGGGUAGCGGAAUUCACGGUGUAGCAGUGAAAUGCGUAGAUAUCGUGAGGAACACCAGAGGCGAAGGCGGCUACCUGGACAAUUGCUGACGCUCAGGCACGAAAGCGUGGGGAGCAAACAGG
RNAcentral lists this ribosomal RNA (253 nucleotides) under uncultured bacterium. Its description in RNAcentral is "partial 16S ribosomal RNA". It matches the Rfam family "Bacterial small subunit ribosomal RNA", at positions 524 to 776 of the family's 1533-position model. The record is from RNAcentral.